CAAGACAUGCGGCGGAGAUUACGGAGAGGAUAGAUUCAUCCCGUAAUCAUCUGAGCUGGAGCUGGAUUCAAAUCUGCGGUAGUUGACGCAGCUUUUGUGGCAAUUUGCUCCAUGAGGUUCACAGAAUAAGGUGCACUGUUCUAGAUAAGUAGGGCCAUCAUACUGAGGACAUCCUUUAGCAUGGACAAUCCCGGGAAUGCAGAGAGAUCUGCAUUGGGAUGGUGGAUGAGUGAUGAUGGGCUCAGAUUGUGAAAUGACUCGUGAUGACUGGCCUUGUUCUGGUGGAGUCUGAAACUCUUGGAGGAGUUGACUGAGCGGUAAAAAGUCAUCCUCAGGAUCCUGAGAAUCCUGGUAGUAAAUCUGUGGAGGAGUAUCUGGACGUUCUU
Molecule: long non-coding RNA, 386 nt
Filed under: Citrus maxima (pomelo)
Lineage: Eukaryota; Viridiplantae; Streptophyta; Magnoliopsida; Sapindales; Rutaceae
Description: long non-coding RNA (CMAX_LNC000687)
Source: RNAcentral